AACGAACGCUGGCGGCAGGCCUAACACAUGCAAGUCGAGCGAGAUCUUCGGGUCUAGCGGCGGACGGGUGAGUAACGCGUGGGAAUAUGCCCUUCUCUGCGGAAUAGCCUCGGGAAACUGAGCGUAAUACCGCAUACGCCCUUUGGGGGAAAGAUUUAUCGGAGAAGGAUUAGCCCGCGUUGGAUUAGGGAGUUGGUGGGGUAACGGCCUACCAAGCCGACGAUCCAUAGCUGGUUUGAGAGGAUGAUCAGCCACACUGGGACUGAGACACGGCCCAGACUCCUACGGGAGGCAGCAGUGGGGAAUCUUAGACAAUGGGGGCAACCCUGAUCUAGCCAUGCCGCGUGAGUGAUGAAGGCCUUAGGGUUGUAAAGCUCUUUCAGCUGGGAAGAUAAUGACGGUACCAGCAGAAGAAGCCCCGGCUAACUCCGUG
Molecule: ribosomal RNA, 433 nt
Filed under: uncultured bacterium
Lineage: Bacteria
Description: partial 16S ribosomal RNA
Rfam family: Bacterial small subunit ribosomal RNA
Source: RNAcentral